Molecule: long non-coding RNA, 201 nt
Organism: Hipposideros armiger (great roundleaf bat)
Lineage: Eukaryota; Metazoa; Chordata; Mammalia; Chiroptera; Hipposideridae
Exons: 3
Source: RefSeq, a predicted model, not a curated record
GUUAAAGAGAAAUUGUCAAUCGUGCAUAGAAAAUAAAACAUGCUUUUGGUGCAGCGAACGAGGGAUUUGCAAAAAAUUUUGUCUUUCAAAUUUGGAAUGUCAAUUCAGUUCUGCAUUUUGGGUCAGCUGUAAAGCAUAUGACGAAUAGAUAACUGAAAUAAUAGAUCUUCCAGAGAGAGAAGAAGGAAGUUUCUUUAACGG